Molecule: ribosomal RNA, 520 nt
Filed under: Streptomyces sp. 310F09
Lineage: Bacteria; Bacillati; Actinomycetota; Actinomycetes; Kitasatosporales; Streptomycetaceae
Description: bacterial SSU rRNA
Rfam family: Bacterial small subunit ribosomal RNA
Source: RNAcentral
UAGUGGCGAACGGGUGAGUAACACGUGGGCAAUCUGCCCUGCACUCUGGGACAAGCCCUGGAAACGGGGUCUAAUACCGGAUAACACCUCCACUCGCAUGGGUGGAGGUUAAAAGCUCCGGCGGUGCAGGAUGAGCCCGCGGCCUAUCAGCUUGUUGGUGAGGUAAUGGCUCACCAAGGCGACGACGGGUAGCCGGCCUGAGAGGGCGACCGGCCACACUGGGACUGAGACACGGCCCAGACUCCUACGGGAGGCAGCAGUGGGGAAUAUUGCACAAUGGGCGAAAGCCUGAUGCAGCGACGCCGCGUGAGGGAUGACGGCCUUCGGGUUGUAAACCUCUUUCAGCAGGGAAGAAGCGAAAGUGACGGUACCUGCAGAAGAAGCGCCGGCUAACUACGUGCCAGCAGCCGCGGUAAUACGUAGGGCGCAAGCGUUGUCCGGAAUUAUUGGGCGUAAAGAGCUCGUAGGCGGCUUGUCACGUCGAUUGUGAAAGCUCGGGGCUUAACUCCGAGUCUGCAGU